CGAGCGGCUGGGGUUCGGGGGUCUGGCGGGCCUAUCGCGCCCGACGGCAAUUGACCAAUCGCCCUUCAGCUCGGCGUUUGGUCAAAUAUCUGCGGGAUUACAUGGUAUGUUCGAGGCGGCGUCUAAGCAGCCCCGGAUUGAGGAAGAGCUCAGGGGAGAAAUCGGAGGUCUCCAGAGGGAGUUGGCGGAGGCCAAGGAGAGACUGGCGGAGGUCGAGCGGGGACUGGUCAAGGCGGAGUGUGAUUAUGCGGACGCUCGUGGCAAGCUUAAUGCGGCUAUCCGGCGGGAUCUGGAGAGGAAUGAGCGCGUCUCCAAGUUGGAGCAGGAGAUCGCGCUACUGCAGGAGCGGAUAGCCGCU
RNAcentral lists this long non-coding RNA (358 nucleotides) under Rosa chinensis. Its description in RNAcentral is "sRNA RchiOBHm_Chr1g0326711". Lineage: Eukaryota; Viridiplantae; Streptophyta; Magnoliopsida; Rosales; Rosaceae. The record is from RNAcentral.